This is a long non-coding RNA of Salarias fasciatus (jewelled blenny), 103 nucleotides long. RefSeq lists it as uncharacterized. The record is from RefSeq and is a predicted model, not a curated record. NCBI's taxonomy places the organism in Eukaryota, Metazoa, Chordata, Actinopteri, Blenniiformes, Blenniidae. The transcript is spliced from 3 exons.
UUUCUAAUCUGAAAGCCAGAACUUUUAAGACAUUUCUGUCUCUAGUCAGGGCAUGAGGAGGGCACUAUCCAAAUAUUUCUGUGAUCUGUAACAAUCAACUGAU